RNAcentral lists this unclassified non-coding RNA (4976 nucleotides) under Schistocerca americana (American grasshopper). RNAcentral describes it as "protein polybromo-1, transcript variant X8". Lineage: Eukaryota; Metazoa; Arthropoda; Insecta; Orthoptera; Acrididae. The record is from RNAcentral.
UUUGAAAAUCGUUUUAUUAAAAUUCGAAAAUGAAACUGUAUUAGGCUAGACCUUCUGAAGACACCAAAAGAAAAGCCUUUGUAGAGAUACACAUUAGUUUCGCAUUGUUGAUGUCAAUUAAUAAUUGUAUUAAAGCGUUUGUUUGUGGCACAAUGGCGGAAAUGAGAACACAGGGCUUGUUGCGUGUUGUUAUAAUCGAAUGUGGGCUGUACUGAUGAGAAUUUAGCGAUGUUGCAAAAUAGAUAAUCGAGUAUAAUACAAGAAAACAUUAUCGCCAUCUGAGUGCUAUAAUUUUUUUGUGUAUAAAGAUCAAAUGAGCAAACGGAGACGUACCUCAUCCGUCCAAAGCCGAGGGCAGGACGACGAUGGGGAUCAAGAGCCAGCAUCUCACGAACCGCAUAGAAAACGGAAGAAAUUAGAUCCGGCGGAGAUAUGUCAUCAACUGUAUGACACAAUAAGGAAUCAUAAGAAGGAUGAUGGCACACUUUUGUGCGAUGCAUUUAUUAGGGUUCCUAAAAGAAGGCAGGAACCAGGUUAUUAUGAGGUUGUCACUAAUCCUAUUGACUUGCUGAAAGUUCAGCAGAAGCUAAAAACUGAUGAAUAUGAAGAUGUGGAUGAUUUAACGGCAGACAUUCAGCUCAUGGUCAACAAUGCAAAGGCUUUCUAUAAGAGAAUGUCACAAGAAUAUCGUGAUGCCUGUGAUCUGUGGGAAUUAUUUAAUUCGACGAAAGCCAGCUUGAUGGAAGCAGAAUCAAAACACACUGAUGACUCGGACCGCAAAGGAAAAAUCAUUCUCAAAGUUGGUAAAAUAGGACGAAGAUCAGCUGCAGACUCCAAAAAGAGUGAGGUAGAUGAUGAUGAUAAUUCAAGCACGCAUGAUGACGAUAUAAAUGUGUACGAAGAAUUAUUUACAACUGUAAUGACUGCAACAGAUGCAGAUAAUAGACCACUUCAUACGGUUUUCCAGUUGCUGCCAUCAAAAAAGCGUUACCCAGAGUAUUACGAGGUCAUUGAAAAUCCUAUAGAUCUGAAAAUGAUUGCAACAAAAAUACAACAAAAUAAAUAUCAAACAUUGAAUGACCUAGAGAAGGAUUUGCUUUUGAUGACUCGCAAUGCUUGCCAAUUCAAUGAACCUGGAUCGCAAAUUUAUAAGGAUGCAAAGGCAUUACGGAAAAUAAUUUCCGGUAGGAAAACUGAGAUUGAACAUGGAAAGCUUGUUGGGGCAAAGGGUAGUGAAAGAACAAGGAGUAAGAGGCUUAGAGGGUCCCAGUCUUUAUCUGCCAUUACAGCUGCCUUAAGAGAUGAGGAGGAAGAAUCUGAAGAUGAAGGCCUUAUAGAAGAAGAUACUGCAGAGGACACUGACAAUCCUCGUUGGCAGUUGUAUGAGACCAUAAAGAACAAUACAAAUAACCAAGGCCACCUCUUAAGUGAACCAUUUUGGAAAUUACCAUCAAGAAGAUAUUAUCCAGACUACUAUAAGGAGAUAAAGAAUCCUAUAUCUCUUUCUCAGAUUCGAAAAAAGCUUCAGAGAGGCGAAUAUGGAACAGUUAGUGAAGUGGCUGGUGACAUGAAUAUCAUGUUUGAAAAUGCAAAGAAGUACAACAGGGCUGAUUCCCGUCUUUAUAAGGAUGCAGCGAAAUUACAAAAAAUAAUGCAAGCUAAAGUUCAAGAACUGUUGGAAUUUGACCAGGAUUCAGAAAGUGAAGAUGAUUCUGAUGAUAGAAGUGCAAGACGUAAAAGUACAAGAAAGUCUGCUUCCUCAACACCAAAGCCAACAAAGCUCCGAGAGGAUAUGCCAUUGAAGAAACGCUUACAUGCACUAUUUAAAUGCCUUAUUGACUAUGUACAUGAAGAUGGACGUCAGCCAGUUCUUAUGUUCAUGGAGAAACCAUCAAAGAAACUGUAUCCUGACUACUUUCAAGUAAUAGCAGAGCCAAUAGAUAUGCUGACAAUUGAAGCAAAUAUAAAGAAUGAAAAAUACAAUUCAGAAGAGGAAAUUAUUGCAGAUUUCAAACUUAUGUUUAACAAUUGCCGUCAAUACAAUGAAGAAGGCUCAAUGAUAUAUGAGGAUGCAAAUAAACUAGAAGAAGUUCUGAUGGAAAAGGUGAAGGAACUAGGAGCCUUACAAGAGAGUGUCAAGAAGACACCUAGAGUGACAAAACCCAGGAAGGUCAGCAAUGCAACAGCAUUAUCACAAAAAUUACGUAUGUUUUAUGAUGCCAUCAGAGACUACAAAGAUCCUAAGAACAGACAACUGAGCUUAAUCUUCCAGAAAUUACCGUCAAAGACUGAGUACCCAGAUUACUAUGAGGUAAUCAAGAAUCCAAUGGACCUGGAAAAAAUUGCUCAAAAACUUAAAACCAAUCAGUAUGAAAGUAUUGAGGCAAUGUCAAGUGAUUUUGUUUUGAUGUUUGACAAUGCUUGCAAGUACAACGAACCUGACUCUCAGAUAUACAAGGAUGCACUGAUGCUUCAGCGGGUUGCAUUGCAGACAAAGAGCCAGCUAAGGGAGGAUGAAGAUGCUGUUCCUGAUGUUGCUGCAGCAGUCCAGGAACUUCUCACUUCACUCUUUAUCUCAGUUUACAAUCAUCAGGAUGAAGAAGGUCGUUGCUUCUCAGACUCUAUGGCUGAAUUGCCUGAACAUGAUGAAGUGGAUGGCACUAAGGUUCGAGCAUUGUCCUUGGACUUAGUUAAGCGAAGACUUGAUAAGGGACUGUACAGAAGACUGGAUGUUUUUCAAGAGGAUGUGUUUGCCUGCAUGGAGCGUGCACGUCGUUUAUCUCGCACAGAUUCACAGGUGUUUGAAGAUUCUAUAGAGCUACAAUCUUACUUCAUCAGGCAGAGAGAUGAACUUUGCCGUGGAGGUGACCUGCUGCAUUCUCCAGCCCUCAAUUACAGUUUACUUCAUCUGGCAGCUGAUGUUGAAACUGUGCGCCAACAAAAGCUGCAGCAGGAGCAGCCAGAGGAUGAAACAGAAACACGAAGCUCGGAGGACUCCAUGAGGGUAAAGGACUCAGAAACACACACGGACACAGGUGGAAAUGCAGCACAAGGAGAUUCACUCAGUUUCAAUCAGCAAAUUUACCAUGUUGGGGACUUUGUUUAUGCGGAACCAAAAGAACGUGGUAUGGAGCCAAGUAUCAUCCAUGUGGAAAGGCUAUGGACCAAUCAGGAAGGAUGUCAAAUGAUGUAUGGGAAUGUAUUCUUCCGCCCAAAUGAAACAUAUCAUGUCACUACUCGAAAAUUCCUAGAAAAGGAGGUGUUUAAAAGUGAUAUACACUUUGCAACACCACUCAGUCAGAUUCUUGGCAGAUGUUGUGUUCUAAGUGUGAAAGAUUACUUCCGCUUCAGGCCAGAUGGCUUUCUUGAUAAGGAUGUAUAUGUUUGUGAAUCAAGAUAUUCAACUAGAGCAAGAGCAUUCAAGAAAAUAAAGGUGUGGCCUUUUACAGUACCGCCUCAUGUAACAUUAGUGCAAAGAGAUGAAGUUCUGGAGGCAAAGAGGAGCAUGUCAGUUUUCCGUGAACGAGUAGAGAAACAUAAAGAAGAAAUAGCUGAGUUAGAGGAGAGAGAGAAGCUUGUUGAGAAAGAAAAGCCUAAUAUAGAAGUAUUCAACCCCCAGGGGCAUGAAGGCCAUACAUAUUAUGAACAGUUUAACACACCAGCAGCUUUGCUAAGGACUGGUGAUUGUGUGUAUGUGCGCUCGGACAAUGGGAAACAGUUAAUACAACAGAUCGAUUCAAUGUGGAUGAACAAACAAGGUGCUUGUUUUUUUCGUGGUCCGUUCAUGGUUUCACCUGUUGAUAUUCCACAGACUCCACAGAAACUUUUUUAUAAACAAGAAGUGUUUCUGAGCAAUGUAGAAGAAACAAAUCCUGUUGAAUUUGUUGUUGGCAGGUGUGCUGUUUUAGAACAUGCAGAAUAUAUAUCGUGUCGCCCAACAGAGAUACCAGAACAAGAUGUAUACGUCUGUGAAUCUGUAUAUGAUGAAUCUCGCCGCCAGAUUAAAAAAUUACCUAGAGAAGGACUUAAAAAAUAUGCUCAUAGUAAUGCUGUAAUAGAAGAUGAAAUAUACUUCUUCCGUAGGCUCAUCAAUCCUCCAAAGAUUGGCAGUGAAAGUGCACAGAACACUGAGGGAAUUAAGUUUGAGACGGACCAAUCGCCAUUGCUGCCCAAGAUUGCAGGUGACCCUGAGGUGAUGACAGAGGACUCUUUAGAUGGUGGUCCACCGUCCGUAGGCUCUGGAGAUACAACCACACCCUCUGCAACACCAGUUGCCAAGAAGAAAUCCCAGGGUAAGAAGCUGGUGACUGGUUACAUCCUUUAUUCGGGAGAUGUUCGGCGAGCAGUCCAGGCAAAUCAUCCUGAUUCAAGUUUUGGUGAGAUCAGCCGAAUAGUUGGAAAUGAGUGGCGUAAUCUUCCAGCCCAGGAGAAGCAGGUGUGGGAAGAAAGAGCUGCAAAAGUUAAUGAAGAAACUGCAGCAAAGUUAGAAAGUGAAAAUUGCCCUUCACCAACUCCAGCAGGAACAGGAAACAGUGGAAAUGCAGGACCAGAUACUAUCUAUGAAUGCUUGUGGGAUAACUGUGACUGGCAGUUUGAGGAUCAGACAGACUGUAUUGACCACUGUGUUAAUGAGAGUUCAGGUCAUGUGCAGGCCCAUUUUGCUUCUGCACCACAAGAUACCGAAUAUCAGUGUCAGUGGCGAGGUUGUGUGAGAUUAAGGAAAGGAAUGCCUCCGUUUCCAAGUGUUUUGCGCUUGGCAAGGCACGUGAAAGAGAUUCACUUGCUCAAAGGAAAUGGCCGCGCUGUUCCUCUUCAAGAACGUAGCAAUGGUUAAUCAGUCUCAGACUGCACAUCAGAAUUAUUCAAGGGAAACACCAUCACCACAUACACAGCCUUCAGUAGGUGGACAGUCUGUCUCAUCAGUAGGCACUAUCCAGAAACCAGUGGAACCAAUAUUUGUACCUGUUCCACCCCGU